UAACAUGAGCAAAUUCCAGACAGCUUCUCGAAGGCCAAGUUUACUUACUCCUUUCUGAUUUCAUCACCUCCAUCAGACUGGGGGACAGAAAGCACUGAAGGCCAAUUUACUGAAGAAAAUUGAACACUUUGUUUGCUAUUACCCAAGGACUUGGGGAAAAAGUAUUUGUUGAUUUUCAGUGUCCAGAUGAACUGAGUCACAUAGAUUUUUCUCAGUCAGUAGCCAAACAGUUAUUCAGAUGACAACUUCCAAAGUAUGGAGUGCUCCAACCAGGGAGACUAUUUUUCAUUGCUUUUUGAGCUUAGGAAGAAUGUAGACAUCCAUUGUAAACCUUAUGUUUCCAAAAUCCCAAAUGUAGGAAAAAUAUGCAGACAUACAGAUAUAUAGGCUAAUUCUAAGUAACAAUAUGAAUAUAUUUAAAGUUUUUAAAACUUUGUAUUUUUUGUAAAAAUAUUUUUCUUUUACAAUUAUUUUCCUUUUUUAAAAUCAUUUUACCAAUAUAAUAUAUGGAGCCAAAGAAAACAAUAAUAGUAUUAAUAAAACCCCCUAAGAUUCCUUGUC
RNAcentral lists this long non-coding RNA (561 nucleotides) under Marmota monax (woodchuck). The record is from RNAcentral. Lineage: Eukaryota; Metazoa; Chordata; Mammalia; Rodentia; Sciuridae.